UGGUUGUCCGACCCUUCUAUCUUUUCUCGCCUGUAAUAAUAGGCUUAAUCGUAGGGCGGCAAAACCAACUUCCUGCGAAGAGUGAAUAUUACACGCGACUGCUCAAUUAACUAGACAAAUGUGUAUAAGUAUGUAUCAUUUCGAAUCCUCACUAAACUCUUUGAGUCAUAAUCUUUGGCACGAUCACGUACGCACAGAACGGAGGCAUGCUCUUCCUCAGCGGAGAAGAAUACCCAG
This 237-nucleotide long non-coding RNA is filed under the name Oryza brachyantha (malo sina). RNAcentral's name for it is "long non-coding RNA (OBRA_LNC002623)". Lineage: Eukaryota; Viridiplantae; Streptophyta; Magnoliopsida; Poales; Poaceae. The record is from RNAcentral.